UACGUAGGGUGCGAGCGUUGUCCGGAAUUAUUGGGCGUAAAGAGCUCGUAGGCGGUUCGUCGCUUCGAAUGUGAAAACCCGGGGCUCAACUCCGGGCCUGCAUUCGAUACGGGCGGACUAGAGUUCGGUAGGGGAGACUGGAAUUCCUGGUGUAGCGGUGAAAUGCGCAGAUAUCAGGAGGAACACCGGUGGCGAAGGCGGGUCUCUGGGCCGAUACUGACGCUGAGGAGCGAAAGCGUGGGGAGCGAACAGG
RNAcentral lists this ribosomal RNA (253 nucleotides) under uncultured bacterium. RNAcentral describes it as "partial 16S ribosomal RNA". It matches the Rfam family "Bacterial small subunit ribosomal RNA", at positions 524 to 776 of the family's 1533-position model. The record is from RNAcentral.